Gadus chalcogrammus (walleye pollock) is the source of this 262-nucleotide long non-coding RNA. RefSeq lists it as uncharacterized. The record is from RefSeq and is a predicted model, not a curated record. The transcript is spliced from 4 exons. NCBI's taxonomy places the organism in Eukaryota, Metazoa, Chordata, Actinopteri, Gadiformes, Gadidae.
CUUUGACAUUUUUUUAUUCUGUUGUUUUAUAAAGAACCUGCUAUUGAAAAACCCAAGGAACCUGCUAUUGAAAAAUCUGAGCCUCUCAAAGAAGCUUGGAGGAAAAUGAAUUGGGGUGAUAGAGAAAAGGAACUCGGGUGGCUGAAUUUGUUCGCUCUGAAAAAGGACACCAAAAAGCAUCUUCGGAUUCUAAUCUACGGCCCGGCUGGAAGUGGGAAAUCCAGUUUCAUUAAUUCUGUUGACGGUGUUUGUCAGAACAGGA